Molecule: ribosomal RNA, 400 nt
Filed under: uncultured bacterium
Lineage: Bacteria
Description: bacterial SSU rRNA
Rfam family: Bacterial small subunit ribosomal RNA
Source: RNAcentral
UGGGGAAUAUUGCGCAAUGGGGGAAACCCUGACGCAGCAACGCCGCGUGAAGGAUGAAGGUUUUCGGAUUGUAAACUUCUUUGAUUGGGGACGAAAAAAAUGACGGUACCCAAAAAACAAGCCACGGCUAACUACGUGCCAGCAGCCGCGGUAAUACGUAGGUGGCAAGCGUUGUCCGGAAUUACUGGGUGUAAAGGGCGUGUAGACGGGGAAGUAAGUCAGAUGUGAAAUUCUUGAGCUCAACUCAAGCGCUGCAUCUGAAACUACUACUCUUGAGUGAUGGAGAGGAAAGCGGAAUUCCUAGUGUAGCGGUGAAAUGCGUAGAUAUUAGGAGGAACACCAGUGGCGAAGGCGGCUUUCUGGACAUUAACUGACGUUGAGGCGCGAAAGCGUGGGGAGC